GGAUUGACACGUCGGUCGUGCCUUAAGGGGUAUGAACUGGCGUAGUCAAUUUCUCACCUUCUGGAGAACCGCGCUGUCCUUAAUUGGGUGACGCGGGGAACCAGGACCUUUACUUUGAAAAAAUUAGAGUGUUCAAAGCAGGCCUACGCCCGAAUACAUUAGCAUGGCAUAAUAAAAUAG
RNAcentral lists this ribosomal RNA (180 nucleotides) under uncultured Glomeromycotina. RNAcentral describes it as "partial small subunit ribosomal RNA". Lineage: Eukaryota; Fungi; Glomeromycota. The record is from RNAcentral.